Molecule: ribosomal RNA, 254 nt
Filed under: uncultured bacterium
Lineage: Bacteria
Description: partial 16S ribosomal RNA
Rfam family: Bacterial small subunit ribosomal RNA
Source: RNAcentral
UACGGGGGGAGCAAGCGUUGUUCGGAUUUACUGGGCGUAAAGGGCGCGUAGGCGGUCAGCACAAGUCAGUUGUGAAAUCUCCAGGCUUAACUCGGAAAGGUCAACUGAUACUGUGCGACUAGAGUGCGGAAGGGGCAACUGGAAUUCUCGGUGUAGCGGUGAAAUGCGUAGAUAUCGAGAGGAACACCUGCGGCGAAGGCGGGUUGCUGGGCCGACACUGACGCUGAGGUGCGAAAGCGUGGGGAGCAAACAGG